Molecule: long non-coding RNA, 314 nt
Filed under: Calidris pugnax (ruff)
Lineage: Eukaryota; Metazoa; Chordata; Aves; Charadriiformes; Scolopacidae
Description: lncRNA (ENSCPUG00000012975.1)
Source: RNAcentral
CCGGCGUAGCUCUUUGGAAACAGGUGGCAGUGUGAUCAAGUCAUUUCCUCUCCACCAGCAUCCUGGCAGCUGCCCUCAGCGCUGGACCAAGUGCUCUGGCCUCUGGCCAGCACAGGUGGCCUUGCAAAGCUUUCAAUGAAAGAGAUGGUCCAAAGAUCUAUUUGCCUACUGGGAUAGAAGGAUGCUGUUGAAAAGAAAGGGAGGACUGGAUGUUUGUCCAAUGGUGUUCAUAAAAGAGACACUUAGCAUGGAAGAGUUAGAUGAAAUACUUGACAGAAUCCAUGUUUAUAAAAACAUGCAUUUUUUUAAUAGUC